GACGAACGCUGGCGGCGUGCUUAACACAUGCAAGUCGAACGGAAAGGCCCCCUUGUGGGGUACUCGAGUGGCGAACGGGUGAGUAACACGUGAGUAACCUACCCUUGACUUUGGGAUAACUUCAGGAAACUGGGGCUAAUACCGGAUAGGAGCUCCUGCUGCAUGGUGGGGGUUGGAAAGUUUCGGCGGUUGGGGAUGGACUCGCGGCUUAUCAGCUUGUUGGUGGGGUAGUGGCUCACCAAGGCUUUGACGGGUAGCCGGCCUGAGAGGGUGACCGGCCACAUUGGGACUGAGAUACGGCCCAGACUCCUACGGGAGGCAGCAGUGGGGAAUAUUGCACAAUGGGUGGAAGCCUGAUGCAGCAACGCCGCGUGCGGGAUGACGGCCUUCGGGUUGUAAACCGCUUUCGCCUGUGACGAAGCGUGAGUGACGGUAAUGGGUAAAGAAGCACCGGCUAACUACGUG
This 465-nucleotide ribosomal RNA is filed under the name uncultured bacterium. Its description in RNAcentral is "partial 16S ribosomal RNA". It matches the Rfam family "Bacterial small subunit ribosomal RNA", at positions 28 to 507 of the family's 1533-position model. The record is from RNAcentral.